GUAACUAUACAAGUGGAAAAUAAGGAGUGAUAUGUGUCUUAAAAAUUUUAAAGAUAAAAGAAAAUUUUAAAACAGUCUAAAUUUAAAAUUAACAGAAACGUUAAACAUUUGAAAAAUGAGAGUGAAAUAAUUCAGUAUGGAUGAUACAAGAAAUAUUUUUAUUUUGAAACUUAACUAAAUACAUGAUUUAUUUCCACAUCACUCUCCCUCCCCAAUUCCCCCAAGUAAAAAAAAAAAAAACUUUUUACUACAAAAAAAUAAGGUUUCGAUCUUUAAUAAAUUUUCAGUUUUUUUUUUAAAAGAAAUUUUAUAUCCACGCAAUCUCUCAUUUUUCUCAUGUAUGUAUAUCAUAUGAGAGCC
This 360-nucleotide long non-coding RNA is filed under the name Salvia miltiorrhiza (redroot sage). RNAcentral describes it as "long non-coding RNA (SMIL_LNC001610)". Lineage: Eukaryota; Viridiplantae; Streptophyta; Magnoliopsida; Lamiales; Lamiaceae. The record is from RNAcentral.